Molecule: ribosomal RNA, 1487 nt
Filed under: uncultured Bacteroidota bacterium
Lineage: Bacteria; Pseudomonadati; Bacteroidota
Description: bacterial SSU rRNA
Rfam family: Bacterial small subunit ribosomal RNA
Source: RNAcentral
AGAGUUUGAUCAUGGCUCAGGAUGAACGCUAGCGGCAGGCCUAACACAUGCAAGUCGAGGGAUAUAGGGGCUUCGGCCUUUAGGGACCAGCAGAUAAGUGAAUAUCACAUAUGCAAUUUACCUUGUACAGGGGAAUAGCCCAGGGAAACUUGGAUUAAUGUCCCAUAGUAUUAUUUAAUGGCAUCAUUUUAUAAUUAAAAAUUUAUCGGUACAAGAUGAGCAUGCGUCCCAUUAGCUAGUUGGUAUGGUAACGGCAUACCAAGGCUACGAUGGGUAGGGGCCCUGAGAGGGGGAUCCCCCACACUGGUACUGAGACACGGACCAGACUCCUACGGGAGGCAGCAGUGAGGAAUAUUAGACAAUGGGCGAGAGCCUGAUCCAGCCAUGCCGCGUGCAAAAAGACUGCCUUAUGGGUUGUAAACUGCUUUUGUACGGGAAGAAACACCUCCACGUGUGGGGGCUUGACGGUACUGUACGAAUAAGGAUCGGCUAACUCCGUGCCAGCAGCCGCGGUAAUACGGAGGAUCCGAGCGUUAUCCGGAAUCAUUGGAUUUAAAGGGUCCGUAGGCGGGCGAUUAAGUCAGCGGUGAAAUUCUGCAGCUCAACUGUAGGACUGCCGUUGAUACUGGUUGUCUUGAAUGGAUGUGAAGUGGCUGGAAUAUGUGGUAUAGCGGUGAAAUGCUUAGAUAUCACAUGGAACACCGAUUGCGAAGGCAAAUCACUAACAUUUCAUUAACGCUGAGGGACGAAAGCGUGGGGAUCAAACAGGAUUAGAUACCCUGGUAGUCCACGCUGUAAACGAUGGAUACUAGCUGUUCGGUGCACAUUGGUGUGCUGAGUGGCCCAGCGAAAGUGAUAAGUAUCCCACCUGGGGAGUACGUUCGCAAAAAUGAAACUCAAAGGAAUUGACAAAAACCCGCACAAGCGGUGGAGCAUGUGGUUUAAUUCGAUGAUACGCGAGGAACCUUACCAGGGCUUAAAUGCAUAAUGACAGGUGUGGAAACACACCCUUCUUCGGACAUUUUACAAGGUGCUGCAUGGUUGUCAUCAGCUCGUGCCGUGAGGUGUCAGGUUAAGUCCUAUAACGAGCGCAACCCUUGUCGUUAGUUGCCAGCGAGUCAUGUCAAGAACUCUAACGAGACUGCCGGUGCAAACCGUGAGGAAGGUGGGGAUGACGUCAAAUCAUCACGGCCCUUACGUCCUGGGCGACACACGUGCUACAAUGGUCGGUACAGUGGGCAGCCAUCCGGCGACGGAGCGCGAAUCCAUAAAGCCGAUCUCAGUUCGGAUCAAAAUCUGCAACUCGACCCCGUGAAGCUGGAAUCGCUAGUAAUCGCAGAUCAGCCAUGCUGCGGUGAAUACGUUCCCGGGCCUUGUACACACCGCCCGUCAAGCCAUGGAAGCCGGAAGCACCUGAAGUCCGUUACCGCGAGGAGCGGCCUAGGGUGAAGCUGGUGACUAAAACUAAGUCGUAACAAGGUAGCCGU